Molecule: ribosomal RNA, 924 nt
Filed under: uncultured bacterium
Lineage: Bacteria
Description: bacterial SSU rRNA
Rfam family: Bacterial small subunit ribosomal RNA
Source: RNAcentral
GUUGUCCGGAUUUAUUGGGCGUAAAGCGAGCGUAGGCGGUGAUUAAAGUCUGAUGUGAAAGCCCCCAGCUCAACUGGGGAGGGUCAUUGGAAACGGGAUCACUUGAGUGCAGAAGAGGAGAGUGGAAUUCCAUGUGUAGGGGUGAAAUGCGUAGAUAUAUGAAGGAACCACCAGUGGAGAAGGCGGGCUUUCUGGUCUGUAACUGACGCUGAGACUCGAAAGCGUGGGUAGCAAACAGGAUUAGAUACCCUGGUAGUGCACGCUGUUAACGAUGAGUGCUAAGUGUUGGAGGGUUUCCGCCCUUCAGUGCUGCAGUUAACGCAUUAAGCACUCCGCCUGGGGAGUACGACCGCAAGGUUGAAACUCAAAGGAAUUGACGGGGGCCCGCACAAGCGGUGGAGCAUGUGGUUUAAUUCGAAGCAACGCGAAGAACCUUACCAGGUCUUGACAUCCUUUGACCGCCCUAGAGAUAGGGUUUCCCCUUCGGGGGCAAAGUGACAGGUGGUGCAUGGUUGUCGUCAGCUCGUGUCGUGAGAUGUUGGGUUAAGUCCCGUAACGAGCGCAACCCUUAUUGUUAGUUGCCAGCAUUGAGUUGGGCACUCUAGCAAGACUGCCGGUGACAAACCGGAGGAAGGCGGGGAUGACGUCAAAUCAUCAUGCCCCUUGUGACCUGGGCUACACACGUGUUACAAUGGGAAGUACAACGAGCAAGCCAAGCCGCAAGGCCUAGCGAAUCUCUGAAAGCUUCUCUCAGUUCGGAUUGCAGGCUGCAACUCGCUUGCAUGAAGCCGGAAUCGCUAGUAAUUGCGGAUCAGCAUGCCGCGGUGAAUCCGUUCCCGGGCCUUGUACACACCGCCCGUCACACCACGAGAGUUUGUAACACCCAAAGUCGGUGCGGCAACCCUUAGGGGAGCCCAGCCCGCC